Molecule: ribosomal RNA, 508 nt
Filed under: uncultured bacterium
Lineage: Bacteria
Description: partial 16S ribosomal RNA
Rfam family: Bacterial small subunit ribosomal RNA
Source: RNAcentral
GAUGAACGCUAGCUACAGGCUUAACACAUGCAAGUCGAGGGGAAACGACAUCGAAAGCUUGCUUUUGAUGGGCGUCGACCGGCGCACGGGUGAGUAACGCGUAUCCAACCUGCCCACCACUUGGGGAUAACCUUGCGAAAGUAAGACUAAUACCCAAUGAUAUCUCUAGAAGACAUCUGAAAGAGAUUAAAGAUUUAUCGGUGAUGGAUGGGGAUGCGUCUGAUUAGCUUGUUGGCGGGGUAACGGCCCACCAAGGCGACGAUCAGUAGGGGUUCUGAGAGGAAGGUCCCCAACAUUGGAACUGAGACACGGUCCAAACUCCGACGGGAGGCAGCAGUGAGGAAUAUUGGGCAAUGGGCGAGAGCCUGAACCAGCCAAGUAGCGUGCAGGAUGACGGCCCUAUGGGUUGUAAACUGCUUUUAUAAGGGAAUAAAGUGAGUCUCGUGAGACUUUUUGCAUGUACCUUAUGAAUAAGGACCGGCUAAUUCCGUGCCAGCCGCCGCGGUAA